UGCAGAGGAAGCAUUAAGAUAAUAUAGGAAAGAAAGGGAAGUUAACAACAUACUUAGCAUCAAGAAUGAAAGACAGUUUCCAAGCUUUGGCAGGAAAUUGAAUUUUAUUGUUUGAUACAAUUAAGAAAAAUUAAUGCAUUGGAAGAGAAGCUACAUGUUUCCUUAACCUAUCAAAUUGAGCAUACAAUAACAUACAGUUGACCCCAAACACUGAGAAGAUAAUCAUCUGA
This 230-nucleotide unclassified non-coding RNA is filed under the name Hevea brasiliensis (rubber tree). Lineage: Eukaryota; Viridiplantae; Streptophyta; Magnoliopsida; Malpighiales; Euphorbiaceae. The record is from RNAcentral.